AGUCUCGCUCACUCUAAGACUCUGAAAAGUGUUACCUGCGUGGGAGUUUGCAGCUGCAGAUCCUGCCAGAGCUUAGAAAAGAGAAAUGCUUGCAUUCAAGGGGAAUGGAGCCAUCCAUCCAGUAGAGAGCUGAUGCCUUACUUGCUAGAGUAAUGAAUGAAAGAACGGGCCCCGCACUUUUCCUGAACUUGGGAAAAAGAACAACGCUGGUGCUUUAGCAGUAGCCUCUUGAGAGCCCACUUCUGUCAACUGAAGAGCACUGUUUGGAGCAGGAUGACUACAGAUGGUUGACCUCAGAUAAGCCACUUUGAAGCCAUGAGUUGUGCCCACAGCCCUCCAUAGACUCUACAUAAAUUUUUCAGGGGUUAAGCUCUGUAAAAGGUCGUGAAGAGCAUGAAGCAGAGUUAUGACUGCCUAUUCGGGAUUUCCUCUUAUUCACAUAAUGGAAUGCAUCUUCACAUAUUCAAUCAGCCACAGUUAUUCUGCCUGGUUACACAGAUUGAAGCUAAGAUGCACGCUGAACAUUUCUGUCACUUUUGCUGUUCUGGCCACUAUACUUAAUCGAAGAACUGGAAGGAAAACUCUCAUUAGAGAAAAAUUCUAUUAGCCUUAUGAAAGCCUGCACUGGGCUAAUAGAGGCCUUAGAGAGCUCUCCCUUCUGGAUAGGGUUGGCCUGAUCAAGGCCUGAGGCGGAAUGAAGAGACAGAGUCAGUGUCUGAGUAAACACUGGGGCCAUAGAUGAAGAGGAUUUUGUUCAUAAGUCUAUUGCUCAGAAACUGGAGACUAAGCCUGCCACAGCAAUGAGCUGCUGGUAGUAUAUACUGCAACCCAAGAGACUGUUGCAAACUUCGAGGUGAAAAUGAGAAUCUGUUUGUGGUUAUUGUUCAAGCAAAGGAGACAUCCUUGUGUUGAGGAUCCAGGUGAUGGUAGGUUUCUAUUACAUAGGCUAAGAAAAAUAACAAUCCAAAACACGGGUAAGAUAAGCUUACUUUGGGAGUGGUGGUGGUGGCUGUGUGUAUAUAGGGGUAAGCUGUACAUGCUUCUGGGUAAUAUAAGUGUGUAAAGGAGAUGUCUGAGGGCACUGUGUACAUUUGGGUACUUCCAGUUUGUGUUGCUAAGUUGGGUUGAAAGAUUAUGGCAGUAGACAUGUACUGAGAGUUAAAAAGCCUCACUCAUGGUGCAUGGAUGCUGAGGGUUGCUGAAAGUGGAGUGGCGUCCAGAAGUGGGAGCAGCAUCUUUGUGGUCAUAUGGCAGGAUCAUUCUUUUCCUGGAGGGAAGAAUGCCAGCUGUAAAGCACCUAGAACUUAAGAAUUUUCCAGGAGAAAGGAUGCAGGGAAUGCAAACCUCUAAGUAAGUAAAGUGAAAAUGGAAUCCAGGUUCAAACUGAGAUGGAGUAAAUGAAAUAUAGAGAAUCACUGAAAUGUACUUCAAAUUCCUUCCAAAUUACCCUGUAGCACUUCUGGUUGACAAGGCUUUGUCAGACCUGUCUUGGUAGGUCUGUCCCAUCAGGAAUCAGGGCAGAGAUGAAGGGACAGAUGGAGGAAAGGAGACAGAGUAUAUGAUCUUGCUCAAGGGACACGUUAAAUUUAAGGUUUUUCUUUUUGUUAAUAGCUUCACAGUGUGUUAGUGUCUGACCUUGCAGAAAGGAUUUUUAAGUACCUUCCCAUUCUCCCUUUGCUUUGCUUUCUGCUUUUUAUCUUCAUAGAGUAAUAAAGAUGCUCAACUCCAGAGAGCUCCUAUAGGAAUUGAGUGCUUAAACACACACAGCCUUGCUCUGGAAGGGGAGAUGGAGGAAGAAGUGUGAAUAGGAAGGGGGAGGAGAUCUGUCAAAAAUCAGUUUUAGGACUGAUCAAAGCAGGAAGGAAGGAGAGGAAAGUCUCCUCCUGCAACAGAGCUAUGCAUGCAUCAGUGCUGGGAAUAGUGUACAUUAAGAAUUAGCAUUUGCUUGGAGCUUUUAAUGUGCAGCAAAAAAUAGAAUUGAUCUCCAAUCCUGCUACAAGCCUAAGGAGAACUAAGACACACUGGUUAGGAGAGGGUGCUUUCCCUGCUUGGCAGCACAAGGCUGGGAGUGGGAAUAACACUAAAACUCAGAUGGCUGAGUGUAUGCUUUGUAUGCAGCUAUAAAAGUGGCAGUAAAAGGAAUAGCUCUCUUCUGUUUAUUGUGUUGCUUCUGUUUAGGCUUACACUUGUGUCUACUACCUGUGGUUCUGUGUGAGGUACCACUAAUCUGGGGAGCUGGGCAUUGCAGAAAAGGAUAAACAGAAGAGUUAAAGAAAGCAAAUGACAAAAUAACCAACCAAAAGAGAAACACAUUUCUAAUUCAUCUAGGGUAAAAGCUGAAUCUUCAUUGCACUAGGGGCAAUUCAGUGUUCUCUGUGAGUACACAAUGGUGGGAAUG
Coturnix japonica (Japanese quail) is the source of this 2398-nucleotide non-coding RNA. NCBI's taxonomy places the organism in Eukaryota, Metazoa, Chordata, Aves, Galliformes, Phasianidae. The record is from RefSeq and is a predicted model, not a curated record.